UUAGAAUGUGGUUAAUUUCUCCACUGAGCUAGAAGCACAUGGUUUGCAGAACAUUGGCUACAGUAAGAACAUACUCUGCAUCAGAGAGGGUUCAACAUUAACAACGUCUGUAAAAACAGAAUCACAGCUGUCAAGAAGAGGUCUGAAUUCUCUACUUCAUCUUUGUCAACAGUGCUUUCUCCAUGUACUGUGAAACACAUCCAUCUGGAUCCACCUAUUUAAGCUACAUGCCUAGCCUCCAGAGUCAUCCAGACUUUUAGCAUAAGAACUCAAAUGAGAAAUCAUGAAGAAUGCAUUAACUGAAUCCAAUAUCACCUACAGGACCCUGGGCCCAUUGCACUUUGUAAUUGUAUUACUUUUCUUCUGGUUAUCUUCAUAGGAUCUUAGGUAUACUCUCUCUGAAAAGUGUUAAAGACAACUUCUCCCUGGGCCUGAGAAUAAAUUAUCUUUUUCCUAUCGCUGUA
RNAcentral lists this long non-coding RNA (464 nucleotides) under Homo sapiens (human). Its description in RNAcentral is "HSALNT0315166". The record is from RNAcentral. Lineage: Eukaryota; Metazoa; Chordata; Mammalia; Primates; Hominidae.